CCAUAACGUUCUUAAUACUUUGAAAUUCAAACUAAGCACUCAUAAACUUGUAAUGAAUUUAUGUUUUAGUUUUGAAUUGUUUUCAUCUAACUUAUAUAGAAAUAUACUAGGUCAUUAGGAAACAUUAUUAAGGCGGCCGUAGGUGGUGAAUCCACCCUAUAAAAUAUAGGGUGGAUUAUUAUUAGAAUAGUUUGUGUGUCAAUUGAUUUGAUACAUUUCAGCAAAAUCAAAUGAUAUUUACGAAAUGAGGGACUUGUAAUGUGUAGAGUGAUUAUUUUAUCGUUGAAUACUUACUAAAACUAUAAGCACUAUUCAACUGCCAUGCGCCGUGUAGCCAUCCGAAUGACAUUCCAUUACUUUCUCAGGGCCAAAAUUAAAAGUGGAAUAUUAAAAGUUGGAAAUCGCUUUACCCCCGAAAUAAGGAUG
Molecule: non-coding RNA, 426 nt
Organism: Cinara cedri
Lineage: Eukaryota; Metazoa; Arthropoda; Insecta; Hemiptera; Aphididae
Source: the annotation of a GenBank genome assembly